This 219-nucleotide ribosomal RNA is filed under the name uncultured bacterium. Its description in RNAcentral is "partial 16S ribosomal RNA". It matches the Rfam family "Bacterial small subunit ribosomal RNA", at positions 1281 to 1500 of the family's 1533-position model. The record is from RNAcentral.
GUAAGUCUCAGUUCGGAUUGAAGGCUGAAAUUCGCCUUUAUGAAGCCGGAAUUGCUAGUAAUGGCAGGUCAGCAUACUGCCGUGAAUACGUUCCCGGGCCUUGUACACACCGCCCGUCACACCAUGAGAGUUGGGAAUACCCGAAGCCUGUGAGCUAACUUUUAGAGGCAGCAGUCGAAGGUAGAAUCAAUGAUUGGGGUGAAGUCGUAACAAGGUACC